This 172-nucleotide ribosomal RNA is filed under the name Pisodonophis boro. RNAcentral's name for it is "partial 12S rRNA". Lineage: Eukaryota; Metazoa; Chordata; Actinopteri; Anguilliformes; Ophichthidae. The record is from RNAcentral.
CACCGCGGUUAUACGAAGAGGCUCAAAUUGAUACUUCACGGCGUAAAGCGUGAUUAGAGGAAACAAAAACUAAAGCCGAACGCCCCCUUAGCUGUUAUACGCCUAGAGUCUCACGAAGCCCAACAACGAAAGUAGCUUUAACCAAAACCUUGAAUUCACGAAAAUUAAGAAA